GGGGAUAUAGCUCAGAGGUAGAGCAUUC
Molecule: non-coding RNA, 28 nt
Filed under: Bombyx mori (domestic silkworm)
Lineage: Eukaryota; Metazoa; Arthropoda; Insecta; Lepidoptera; Bombycidae
Also listed under: 4 other names
Source: RNAcentral